This 560-nucleotide ribosomal RNA is filed under the name uncultured Glomus. RNAcentral's name for it is "eukaryotic LSU rRNA". The stretch from base 145 to 298 matches the Rfam family "5.8S ribosomal RNA". Lineage: Eukaryota; Fungi; Glomeromycota; Glomeromycetes; Glomerales; Glomeraceae. The record is from RNAcentral.
UUUCCGUAGGUGAACCUGCGGAAGGAUCAUUAAUGAUUUUUAAAGCGAGUCGAGCGUUAAGCGAGGCUUGCGAAAUAUUUAAAACCCCACUCUUUUUAACCUUAAAAAAUAGAUCAUGAUACAUGAAUUUAAAAAAAAAAAGAUCACUUUCAACAACGGAUCUCUUGGCUCUCGCAUCGAUGAAGAACGCAGCGAAAUGCGAUAAGUAGUGUGAAUUGCAUAAUUUUGUGAAUCAUCGAAUCUUUGAACGCAAAUUGCACUCCCUGGUAUUCCGGGGAGUAUGCCUGUUUGAGGGUCGUUAGAAUAAAAAUCGAGGCGUCGCUCUUUUUAUUUAAGGGUGAUCGCGUCGGAAUUGAGCCGUCUUUCAAAUGUUAAUUCAUGUUAAAGUGGCUUAAAAUUCAUCCAUCCGGUACGAUUAAAGCGUAUUUAAGAUCAAUUUUGAUUAAGAACGCGCGAUGACGUACCAUCUCAUGCAGUACGUUUGACCUGGCGUCGUCAGGAUCAUUCGUAUACGAUACUCAACUUUUGACCUCAAAUCAGGUAAGAAUACCCGCUGAACU